Hyla sarda is the source of this 135-nucleotide small nucleolar RNA. The record is from RefSeq and is a predicted model, not a curated record. Lineage: Eukaryota; Metazoa; Chordata; Amphibia; Anura; Hylidae.
ACACACUGUCUAGUGUCUCCUUGGCCUUCAUCUUGGCUCUGGGAUGUCUUUCUGGUGCCAGAACAAAUCCAUUCUUGCAGAAAUGCUGUGUCCAAUAGACCUGUUACCUGUCCUUUCUGGGAGUUGGGUACAAAU